UUGCACGCUGGCGGCAGGCCUAACACAUGCCAGUCGAGCGGAUGAAGGGAGCUUGCUCCUGGCUUCAGCGGCGGACGGGUGAGUAAUGCCUAGGAAUCUGCCUGGUAGUGGGGGAUAACGUCCGGAAACGGGCGCUAAUACCGCAUACGUCCUGAGGGAGAAAGUGGGGGAUCUUCGGACCUCACGCUAUCAGAUGAGCCUAGGUCGGAUUAGCUAGUUGGUGGGGUAAAGGCCUACCAAGGCGACGAUCCGUAACUGGUCUGAGAGGAUGAUCAGUCACACUGGAACUGAGACACGGUCCAGACUCCUACGGGAGGCAGCAGUGGGGAAUAUUGGACAAUGGGCGAAAGCCUGAUCCAGCCAUGCCGCGUGUGUGAAGAAGGUCUUCGGAUUGUAAAGCACUUUAAGUUGGGAGGAAGGGCAGUAAGUUAAUACCUUGCUGUUUUGACGUUACCAACAGAAUAAGCACCGGCUAACUUCGU
This 482-nucleotide ribosomal RNA is filed under the name uncultured bacterium. Its description in RNAcentral is "partial 16S ribosomal RNA". It matches the Rfam family "Bacterial small subunit ribosomal RNA", at positions 30 to 506 of the family's 1533-position model. The record is from RNAcentral.